ACCAUUUCUCUCCCCCUCUUCGACCCUUACGUCCAUAUGUGAAGAGUUAAGCUUCAUAAUUUUUCUACACAUCAUUUUUUCACCGGUGUAUCGCUGCAGAGUUGCGUCAAUCGUUCCCCAUACCUUUUCAGUGAUGGUAUUGUCAAGGCACAAAACAAUAGAUCGAAACAAUAUAUUAGCAUGAAUAGUAACCCGUGAGGAAAAAAGUUUAAGUUACUGACCAAUUACUAUUUUUUACACCAAGACAUCAGUGAAUAGUACACCAACAGUUACCUAAACAAUACCCAGAAUAGUAAACAAAAACAAUAAACCAAAUAAACCGAAACAAUAAACCCAACUAACCCGGAACAUUAAAACCAAUGAAAUGGAAAAACACAUGAAUAAACAGAAAACAUUAACACACCUGAACCAUAAACCAAAAUAUCAACUGAAUUAUAACCAAGAACAAUACACCCAAAAAAACUGGAACAAUAAAAACAAUAAAUCAGCAUUAUGCAUUCAUGUAAACAGUAAUCAAGAAAAAAUGCCAAGACAAUCCCUACCAAAAGUGAGACUUCUUCUCCCUCGGUGCAUUUACCUACGCAAGAAGAAUAGACAUGUUCUUGCCAUUGUCUAUGAUGCCAUACUAUAUACUAAACCGGCAAGCUUGCACAUCAUAUAUAUGCUGGCAGGCCAGAAUUAAGAAUGCGAGAUGAUGGAUGCAUGCAUAUGUGGCGGCAAAAGGAACAUAUACUAUUGUAUUAUUGUACUAGUAUAACAAGGAUCGACAUCUAGGACCGGCCGGGCAUAUGGAUACAGUCCACCGGCGCUUGUUGUGGGAAGCAUGAUCGACUGAGAUUUCUAAGGCUUACAUGCAUGGUCCACACUCCACUAGUCCGCAUAAUUAGUGCACACGCGAGAGCCCAUAGAUGAGUAGAGGAGCCUAUUGGUCGACAAAAAUAAGGGCAUGCUCAAUGGUAGCGAGACAUUGAAUUUGUGUUCAAGCAGCUACUCUAAACCGCACCUCACUAAGUGCAGGGUUGGGUCGAGGAUCCCACCCAAGGACGG
Molecule: long non-coding RNA, 1047 nt
Filed under: Hordeum vulgare
Lineage: Eukaryota; Viridiplantae; Streptophyta; Magnoliopsida; Poales; Poaceae
Description: long non-coding RNA (HVUL_LNC017300)
Source: RNAcentral